Molecule: ribosomal RNA, 930 nt
Filed under: Arthrobacter sp.
Lineage: Bacteria; Bacillati; Actinomycetota; Actinomycetes; Micrococcales; Micrococcaceae
Description: bacterial SSU rRNA
Rfam family: Bacterial small subunit ribosomal RNA
Source: RNAcentral
AAGAGCUCGUAGGCGGUUUGUCGCGUCUGCCGUGAAAGUCCGGGGCUCAACUCCGGAUCUGCGGUGGGUACGGGCAGACUAGAGUGAUGUAGGGGAGACUGGAAUUCCUGGUGUAGCGGUGAAAUGCGCAGAUAUCAGGAGGAACACCGAUGGCGAAGGCAGGUCUCUGGGCAUUAACUGACGCUGAGGAGCGAAAGCAUGGGGAGCGAACAGGAUUAGAUACCCUGGUAGUCCAUGCCGUAAACGUUGGGCACUAGGUGUGGGGGACAUUCCACGUUUUCCGCGCCGUAGCUAACGCAUUAAGUGCCCCGCCUGGGGAGUACGGCCGCAAGGCUAAAACUCAAAGGAAUUGACGGGGGCCCGCACAAGCGGCGGAGCAUGCGGAUUAAUUCGAUGCAACGCGAAGAACCUUACCAAGGCUUGACAUGAACCGGAAACGCCUGGAAACAGGUGCCCCACUUGUGGUCGGUUUACAGGUGGUGCAUGGUUGUCGUCAGCUCGUGUCGUGAGAUGUUGGGUUAAGUCCCGCAACGAGCGCAACCCUCGUUCUAUGUUGCCAGCACGUGAUGGUGGGGACUCAUAGGAGACUGCCGGGGUCAACUCGGAGGAAGGUGGGGACGACGUCAAAUCAUCAUGCCCCUUAUGUCUUGGGCUUCACGCAUGCUACAAUGGCCGGUACAAAGGGUUGCGAUACUGUGAGGUGGAGCUAAUCCCAAAAAGCCGGUCUCAGUUCGGAUUGGGGUCUGCAACUCGACCCCAUGAAGUCGGAGUCGCUAGUAAUCGCAGAUCAGCAACGCUGCGGUGAAUACGUUCCCGGGCCUUGUACACACCGCCCGUCAAGUCACGAAAGUUGGUAACACCCGAAGCCGGUGGCCUAACCCCUUGUGGGGGGGAGCCGUCGAAGUGGGACUGGCGAUUGGGACGAAGUCG